UACGUAGGGUGCAAGCGUUAAUCGGAAUUACUGGGCGUAAAGCGUGCGCAGGCGGCUAUGCAAGGCAGAUGUGAAAUCCCCGGGCUCAACCUGGGAACUGCAUUUGUGACUGCAUGGCUAGAGUACGGUAGAGGGGGAUGGAAUUCCGCGUGUAGCAGUGAAAUGCGUAGAUAUGCGGAGGAACACCGAUGGCGAAGGCAAUCCCCUGGACCUGUACUGACGCUCAUGCACGAAAGCGUGGGGAGCAAACAGG
RNAcentral lists this ribosomal RNA (253 nucleotides) under uncultured bacterium. RNAcentral describes it as "partial 16S ribosomal RNA". It matches the Rfam family "Bacterial small subunit ribosomal RNA", at positions 524 to 776 of the family's 1533-position model. The record is from RNAcentral.